This is a non-coding RNA of Canis lupus familiaris (dog), 91 nucleotides long. NCBI's taxonomy places the organism in Eukaryota, Metazoa, Chordata, Mammalia, Carnivora, Canidae. The record is from Rfam.
AGGGGGAGGCCGGAUCCUGGGCUGUGUCCCCGGCGCCCUGUGCUCUGGGGCCUGCACUGUUGGAUUCACGCUCCCGGCUGCACAGCCCCCU